AGAGUUUGAUCCUGGCUCAGGACGAACGCUGGCGGCGCGCCUAACACAUGCAAGUCGAACGAGAGAGGAAGAGCUUGCUCUUCUGAUCGAGUGGCGAACGGGUGAGUAACGCGUGAGGAACCUGCCUCAAAGAGGGGGACAACAGUUGGAAACGACUGCUAAUACCGCAUAAGCCCACGGCUCGGCAUCGAGCAGAGGGAAAAGGAGCAAUCCGCUUUGAGAUGGCCUCGCGUCCGAUUAGCUAGUUGGUGAGGUAAUGGCCCACCAAGGCAACGAUCGGUAGCCGGACUGAGAGGUUGAACGGCCACAUUGGGACUGAGACACGGCCCAGACUCCUACGGGAGGCAGCAGUGGGGAAUAUUGCACAAUGGGGGAAACCCUGAUGCAGCGACGCCGCGUGGAGGAAGAAGGUCUUCGGAUUGUAAACUCCUGUUGUUGAGGAAGAUAAUGACGGUACUCAACAAGGAAGUGACGGCUAACUACGUGCCAGCAGCCGCGGUAAAACGUAGGUCACAAGCGUUGUCCGGAAUUACUGGGUGUAAAGGGAGCGCAGGCGGGAAGACAAGUUGGAAGUGAAAUCCAUGGGCUCAACCCAUGAACUGCUUUCAAAACUGUUUUUCUUGAGUAGUGCAGAGGUAGGCGGAAUUCCCGGUGUAGCGGUGGAAUGCGUAGAUAUCGGGAGGAACACCAGUGGCGAAGGCGGCCUACUGGGCACCAACUGACGCUGAGGCUCGAAAGUGUGGGUAGCAAACAGGAUUAGAUACCCUGGUAGUCCACACUGUAAA
RNAcentral lists this ribosomal RNA (785 nucleotides) under uncultured bacterium. Its description in RNAcentral is "bacterial SSU rRNA". It matches the Rfam family "Bacterial small subunit ribosomal RNA", at positions 8 to 806 of the family's 1533-position model. The record is from RNAcentral.